AUCUGAUAAGCUGACGUCAUGAUCUGACCUGUCACCCCCAUCAUAUGCCGUAUAGGCGUGAAAUGACCAACUCUCACAACAUAAAAGACGAUGCACAGCUCAGCAUCUUCGGUUUUUCUUGGGCUGUUAAUCACUGCUAAGACCUACUCCUGAAUUUCUGUCCACAGUAAAGCCUGCUGACUCCAAAUGCUGACAUUUCUUGGUGAUUUUUGAAAGUAUUUAAAGAGGCUCAUUUGAACACAGUCAAGUCUUAGAUUCUGGCCAUGAUUUGUGACUUAGUUUCUACUUCAUCAGUAUUGAGACAUAAACUCCAAACUACCAUGAGUCAUUAUUGCGAAAUACUGACCCAUUGAGAUAACAUCACGAGGUAAGAAAGCUCAUUCUUUCACUCACUUUCUUUGUUUUCGGUGCAGGGGCUUGUAUAAACUCCUGGGUGUGUCCAAUAGUAUGACAGGCGAUCCAGUGCAGAGUUAGGAGUGGUGCUUUUAGGUGAGGCUUAAACUUGUGAUUUUAACACAGAUCAUGUGCACAACUUUAGUGGACUCCAUCGACCGUAGCAUGAAUGUGAACCUGGCAAGUCUGCAGCACAAUCACGCUGCCUUCAGCAGAGUCUCAAAGUGUUUACUAGAAAGAGCAGAUUGUGUUGAGGGCAAAGGGUGGCAGUAUCAGUAAGGUGCUCCUAUUCAUGUGCUUGGUGCAGCAGGUCUAACAGCGACCGCCACUGCAGGCAUGGCUACUGCUGGAGCUGGUGUUGGAGCAGUAGCAGGAAAGCUGACCAACAGUCUGAUUAAAUAAACUGAAAUGGUCUUUAAGACUGCAAAAUGGAGAAUUCCGACUGACAUUAUUAUUGCUAAUUAUGUUGUCCACUUACUAAUAGGCACUUUCUUAUGAUUCCAGACAUUUCUGUAGUAUUUCAGUUCCCCUUACUGUCCUGUGAAUGAACUAAAUAUUGUUCAGUAACUUAAUUUCAGUGCACUGAAGUGUAAUUGAACACAGCUGUAAGAUGUUUAGCCAAGAUAAUGAGGUUGUUUUGACUGAAUGUAAUUGGAACUGAAGGAAAUUGAGAUAAUGCUUUAUUAUGAACAUGUCCAACUUUUAUUAAUAAAAAAAAAUUAAGCUAA
Amphiprion ocellaris (clown anemonefish) is the source of this 1121-nucleotide long non-coding RNA. The record is from Ensembl. NCBI's taxonomy places the organism in Eukaryota, Metazoa, Chordata, Actinopteri, Pomacentridae.